RNAcentral lists this ribosomal RNA (459 nucleotides) under uncultured bacterium. RNAcentral describes it as "partial 16S ribosomal RNA". It matches the Rfam family "Bacterial small subunit ribosomal RNA", at positions 29 to 523 of the family's 1533-position model. The record is from RNAcentral.
AACGAACGCUGGCGGCAGGCCUAACACAUGCAAGUCGAACGUGAAGCCACCUUCGGGUGGUGGAAAGUGGCAGACGGGUGAGUAACGCGUGGGAACGUGCCUUUCGGUUCGGGAUAACCCAGGGAAACUUUGGCUAAUACCGGAUACGCCCUCCGGGGGAAAGAUUCAUUGCCGAAAGAUCGGCCCGCGUCGGAUUAGCUAGUUGGUGGGGUAAAAGCCUACCAAGGGGACGAUCCGUAGCUGGUCUGAGAGGAUGACCAGCCACACUGGGACUGGGACACGGCCCAGACUCCUACGGGAGGCAGCAGUGGGGAAUAUUGGACAAUGGGCGCAAGCCUGAUCCAGCCAUGCCGCGUGGGUGUAGAAGGCCCUAGGGUUGUAAACCCCUUUCAGCGGGGAAGAUAAUGACGGUACCCGCAGAAGAAGCCCCGGCUAACUCCGUGCCAGCCGCCGCCGUAA